RNAcentral lists this long non-coding RNA (1816 nucleotides) under Gallus gallus (chicken). The record is from RNAcentral. Lineage: Eukaryota; Metazoa; Chordata; Aves; Galliformes; Phasianidae.
AAACAGCUCAGAUAAUCCAACUUUGUUUUAUUGUGUGUAAAAUCAAGUGAAAUAGCAGUACAAAUAGGAGCAGUUUUUACAGUAACAAAAAUAACUUCAGCUUGAAAACCUUGAAAUUUACCACUGAAUUCUUAAGUUACAAAAUUCAAAAGCAGUAAUGGAGUAAUUUAAUAGAUAUAAAAAUGGUAGAUAGGUAUCUGCACGUGUGUACAGAAGUCUGAGAUCCAGUAAUAAAACAUACAUAUAUGGCACAGCAGUAAUGUACUGAAUAAGUUAGACUACCACCUCAAGUUCUAUUUACAAGCUUACCUGAAGAUUGCUUAAGGAGAGUACAGAUAAAUGAUUCAACUGAGGUGGAUUAAAAACUCCAGUUUGGGGAUAAUUGUAAGGCUAGCUAGCUAACGAACCACUAGUAUGCCAUGUAAUUAACUUAUUUGUGCAGAAAUUUAAAUUUGGUCAAGAGGCACUUGGACAAUUUACUGGCAUAUUCAUCUCUUCAGUCAAUAAAUCAGUCAUUUGAACAAUCUUCUAGAUAGAAGAACAGGCUAAAAUCCACCCUUCCCAUUUCAACUCCAGUAGAAGUGAAGAACUGAAGAAUGCGGAUACAAGCAGCUCUUUUGGUAAGUCUAGCAACAGCAUAUUCUUAAUUUGCUCAUCCUGGUUCAUAUUACUUUCACUUAAACUUGAUUCAUUUGUUACAAAUUACUUAGGAACAAGGAGAAUUAAGUUUUCUUCAAUACUGAAGUUGAACUGUAGUGUCUCAAAACUUUUAGUACCUGCUAAGCGUGCUAAAUCUAACAGGUAUUAAUAACAUACUCGGUUGUUUGGCUGAAAAGGCUGCUCUGUACAGCAAGUCUUUGCAGUAAGCCAUAAUGCCCCCAAACUUUCAGCAUACUGUCUAACCAGCACACAAUGUGAGAUGAGUACAGUGCUCCUUCCUACAGCAGCAUGCAACUCUUAGUCCAGGCAUUUUAAUUAGAGAACAUGGGAGGACAGGACAGCUCAAUUCUAAAAGCUUAAGUACAGCAAACCCUCUUAUCUUACUUGGCAGAAGCCAAAUUCCUCUUGAAUAGGAAACCUUUGUGCUACAGAAGAAUUCUGUCAGAACUGAAGCUUUUUUGUGUGCCUCCUUAGAUAGUUAGGGUUUGGCCUGUCUUCCUGGAAGCUAUGAUUAUAAUAAGGUCGUCUUCCCGUGUACCUGCAGGGAAAACUUUAUAGAAGCACUCUGGGGGCCUAAAAUUUAACUACUGUUAAUUUCACCAGAGAAAGUAAAAAUAGUGUUUACCACAGUUUGGAACAUGUACUUUUUCCAGACAAUCCUUCCUCACUUGAUAUCCAGUCUACGCAUCUCCCUCCCUAACCCUUCCCCAGUUUGAUCACCGAUUAGGACAUCAUGGAUUGCUGCACAGCCUUCUGCAGAGAUUGCCUGGUCACCAGCAGCCGUACCACUUCUUCAUUUCUUUUUGUCAGCCUCUUCCUAGCUUGGUCAUGGGUCACCAUUGUCAUAUCCCAGCCAUUCACCUGCAUGAUCUUGUCCCCAAUCUGUAGUCCUGCAAUUUCUGCUGGGCCUCCUUCUGUCACCCUUGUUACAUAAAUACCCUUGUCAGUCUUAUCUUCAGAGAAAGGAUUUUGAGUAGGGUCCUGAUCAAUGCCACCUCCAAUGCUGAAUCCCAGAAUCAAGUUGUCACCUUGGCGAAGCUUAUGUAUUUCAAUUCUUUGCACCACGGCGGUGACGGGCUGUCCCGGCACGUACGACAUGGCCCCACACAGCCGCCCGUCGCGGCCGCCGCCCGAACAAAAGCGCUUCAGCCGGCCC